UCUUGUUCUGAUUCUGGUUUGUUGCAGUUCGGAGAAUUGACGUUUAAAGCGGAGAUUUUGUCUCGUAAAAGUUAAUAUUAGAAUUCAGUUUUGUGCAAUUUUAUCAUGGUUUCGAACAAAAGCAGAUGCCUACACUAAAGUAUCUGUGAAAGCACAGAGAAAGACUUCUGCCUUAAAGGUUGAAAGUUCUCCUUCAUCAUCAAAAGCUGGGAAGACCGAUAGAUAUGCUGGAGGAAAUCCUUAUUGUCCUCGACCAACCCCAUCCUGGCAGAAACCUAUUACUAAUUUUUUUUCUAAAGGAGAAGGUUCCAGUUUAAAUGAUGAAAAUGGAGAGUCUGUUCCAGGGUUGUAGCAAGGACUCUGAUUGUACCCCAUUAAAUCUAGAUGUAAGUGGGAAUAUAGAGCCAUGCUGCAGUGAAGACACCCAAAGCAAUUUGGAAAUCGAAAAUGCCGAAAACGUAGAUCCUUCUGAAAAUGAAAUGAAAGAAACAAACAAUGAUGAGAAAGAAUAAUAUUCUUCAUGUUGCAAAUCUUGUAAACUUUCAUACUUCAUCUUGUAAAAUGUUUCUGUGUAUAUUUUUUUAUGUUUGAAGUUCCUUUAA
Uloborus diversus is the source of this 602-nucleotide long non-coding RNA. RefSeq lists it as uncharacterized. The record is from RefSeq and is a predicted model, not a curated record. The transcript is spliced from 4 exons. Lineage: Eukaryota; Metazoa; Arthropoda; Arachnida; Araneae; Uloboridae.